Molecule: non-coding RNA, 263 nt
Organism: Biomphalaria pfeifferi
Lineage: Eukaryota; Metazoa; Mollusca; Gastropoda; Planorbidae
Source: the annotation of a GenBank genome assembly
UUUAUUGGCCUGUUUAAUAUAAACAUUGCUGAUCACAAAUACGAAUUAUGGCAAGAAAAUUUAUUAAGUUAAUAUUGCAUUUUUUUUAGAAGUGAUUUUCCCCAAAACAAACUUGAUUAAAAAUAUCACUAAUGAAAUACUGGCCAAGACAUGACCUUCACUUCAAUGCAAUUUAAAAAAUAAUAGAAUGAUAUAACAUGGCGAUGAUCUGUGAAACAAAUAUACAUUUUAAAAAUAUUAUUAUUAUUAUAGCUUUUAUAUAG